This 526-nucleotide ribosomal RNA is filed under the name uncultured Acidobacteriota bacterium. Its description in RNAcentral is "bacterial SSU rRNA". It matches the Rfam family "Bacterial small subunit ribosomal RNA", at positions 355 to 871 of the family's 1533-position model. Lineage: Bacteria; Pseudomonadati; Acidobacteriota. The record is from RNAcentral.
UGGGGAAUUUUGGGCAAUGGGCGCAAGCCUGACCCAGCAACGCCGCGUGAAGGACGAAAUCCCUUCGGGAUGUAAACUUCGAAAGUCAGGAAAGAAAUCCGACGGGCGAAUACCCUGUCGGGAUGACGGUACCUGACGUAAGCCCCGGCUAACUACGUGCCAGCAGCUGCGGUAAUACGUAGGGGGCAAGCGUUGUUCGGAAUUACUGGGCGUAAAGGGCGCGUAGGCGGCACGGCAAGUCGGGAGUGAAAGGCCUGGGCUCAACCGAGGAAUGGCUUUCGAGACUGCCGAGCUAGAGUGCGGAAGGGGCAACUGGAAUUCCCAGUGUAGCGGUGAAAUGCGUAGAUAUUGGGAAGAACACCGGAGGCGAAGGCGGGUUGCUGGGCCGACACUGACGCUGAGGCGCGAAAGCCAGGGGAGCAAACGGGAUUAGAUACCCCGGUAGUCCUGGCCCUAAACGAUGGAUACUUGGUGUGUGGGGUUCUUCGAGUCCCCGCGUGCCGGAGCUAACGCGGUAAGUAUCCCG